This 65-nucleotide transfer RNA is filed under the name Ixodes angustus. Its description in RNAcentral is "tRNA-Met". The record is from RNAcentral. Lineage: Eukaryota; Metazoa; Arthropoda; Arachnida; Ixodida; Ixodidae.
AUAAAGUCAGCUAAAACUUAAGCUAGUGGGUUCAUACCCCAACAAUGAAAAUUUUUCCUUUAUUA